This 497-nucleotide ribosomal RNA is filed under the name uncultured bacterium. RNAcentral describes it as "partial 16S ribosomal RNA". It matches the Rfam family "Bacterial small subunit ribosomal RNA", at positions 28 to 507 of the family's 1533-position model. The record is from RNAcentral.
GAUGAACGCUGGCGGCGUGCCUAAUACAUGCAAGUCGAGCGAACGGACGAGAAGCUUGCUUCGCGCAUGUUAGCGGCGGACGUGUGAGUAACACGUGUAUACCCUACCUAUAAGACUGGGAUAACUUCGGGAAACCGGAGCUAAUACCGUAGGAUAUUUUGAACCACAUGGUUCAAAAGUGAAAGACGGUCUUGCUGUCACUUAUAGAUGGAUCCGCGCUGCAUUAGCUAGUUGGUAAGGUAACGGCUUACCAAGGCAACGAUGCAUAGCCGACCUGAGAGACUGAUAGCCCACACUAGAGCUGAAACGCGGACCAGACUACUGCGGGAGGCAGCAGUAGGGAAUCUUCCGCAACGGUCGAAAGCCUGACGGAGCAACGCCACGCCAGUGAUGACGGUCUUCGGAUCGUAAAACCCUGUUAUUAGGGAAGAACAUAUGUGUACGUAACUGUGCACAUCUUGACGGUACCUAAUCAGAAAGCCACGGCUAACUACGUG